Rhododendron vialii is the source of this 319-nucleotide long non-coding RNA. RefSeq lists it as uncharacterized. The transcript is spliced from 2 exons. The record is from RefSeq and is a predicted model, not a curated record. Lineage: Eukaryota; Viridiplantae; Streptophyta; Magnoliopsida; Ericales; Ericaceae.
ACUCCAGACCAGAAGUCCAAAUCUGAAAAAUGAAGCCGUCGCCUCCAUCUGCGCUUGAUAAUCUUGCUGCCGUAAUUACCCACCAGCGUCAGGUUCACAGGAAGCAUGCUAAAUUUCAGUGUCCUAAUGGGAACUGCAGAAAGUUAUUUACUUCGAAGCCUGAUGUGGUAUAUACCAUAUCAAGAAUAGGCAUCCUCCUAGCACGAGGAUGCCUCGCCAAACUGUUCACUUAAAUAUACAUGGAGAUUAUUUGUAGCUCAAUUCUUGAAAGUAGGCUUGCACGUCAUCAUCAUCAAGUAAAUGAUUCGAAUCUUGAAAA